UGAACUUGGUGUGGUCUCAGCAGAAAGUGCUGCAGGCGAAACAAUGGUUCCUAUAAGUUGGACAGAGAUGCAGUGCCCCUUGUCGGGCCAAACCGAGCAGAGAAAAGUUGCCAAGGUGGGUAGUUGAACUUGAAGGCGAUACUUGGCUUCUCCCACAUAAUGAGGUGUGGGCUUUGUUUGCAACAAGAAAAGCCGUUUUGAAGAUUAUUACAGUUUUUGGGUUAUCAGGUGUAGAGAUAAAAAAGUUUAGAUCCAAUUGACCUUAUUAAGGUUGGCAUAUUCAUGAUAAUUAGGGUACUUACAAGUUCUUAAACUCAAAAGACAUUUUGUUGUUAGUGACUAUUUCAAAAUUUGUGUGUUAAAGUUUUCCCUUUGGUAGAAGAAAACAUUUGAUUUUAAAUAUGAUCGUAGCGACAUUUAAAUCA
This is a non-coding RNA of Camelina sativa (false flax), 425 nucleotides long. The record is from RefSeq and is a predicted model, not a curated record. NCBI's taxonomy places the organism in Eukaryota, Viridiplantae, Streptophyta, Magnoliopsida, Brassicales, Brassicaceae.